RNAcentral lists this ribosomal RNA (470 nucleotides) under Doratura stylata. RNAcentral describes it as "partial large subunit ribosomal RNA". Lineage: Eukaryota; Metazoa; Arthropoda; Insecta; Hemiptera; Cicadellidae. The record is from RNAcentral.
AAGGUAUAUCCUGCCCUAUGGAUAAUUCUAAAUGGCUGCAGUAUUUUGACUGUACAAAGGUAGCAUAGUAAUUAGUUUCUUAAUUAGGAACUUGUAUGAAUGGAUUCAUGAGAUAUAUGUUUUAUUUAUUUAAAUAUUAAAAUUUUAAUUUUAGGUUAAAAUGCCUAAUAAAUUUCUUGGGACGAUAAGACCCUAUAGAACUUUAUAUUUAUAUUAAAAAUUUCUUUUAAAUUUUAUAUUAAAUUUUUAACUAUAAUAUUUUGCUGGGGUGGUUAGUAAAUUUUAACUUUACUUUUAUUUUUCAUGAAUAUAUGUUAUUUUUGAUCCUUAAAAAAGAUUACAAGAAUAAGUUACCUUAGGGAUAACAGCGUAAUUUUAGUGGGGAGUUCAUAUCUAUAUUAAUUUUGCGACCUCGAUGUUGAAUUAAGAAAAAUCUAAGAAGCAGAAUUCUUAGUUUUAAGUCUGUUCGA